Pelobates cultripes (western spadefoot toad) is the source of this 256-nucleotide non-coding RNA. Lineage: Eukaryota; Metazoa; Chordata; Amphibia; Anura; Pelobatidae. The record is from the annotation of a GenBank genome assembly.
AGUAUGUCCCAAUUAACCCUUUAAGGAUCAAUGUCUAUCUGGUCGUAACAAUAUGUUCUUUAGUGAUCUUGGUGUCAAGUGGAAUGCCUUACUCGAUUACUUACUGUAGGGACAUACACAUCAGCCAAGAAGAUUGCAAAUUAGCGAAUGUUGUGCCCAUUCACAAGAAAGGUAGUAUGGAGGACUCUGGAAAUUAUAGGCCAGUAAGCCUUACUUCAAUAGUUGGGAAAGUAAUGGAAACCAUGUUAAAGGAUAG